CAGAGGGUGCAAGCGUUGUUCGGAAUUACUGGGCGUAAAGCGCGUGUAGGUGGCGAUGUAAGUCGGGUGUGAAAUCCCUCAGCUUAACUGAGGAAGUGCACUCGAUACUGUGUCGCUUGAGUGUUGGAGGGGAUGGCGGAAUUCCCGGUGUAGAGGUGAAAUUCGUAGAUAUCGGGAGGAACACCUGUGGCGAAGGCGGCCAUCUGGACAACUACUGACACUGAGACGCGAAAGCGUGGGUAGCAAACAGGAUUAGAUACCUGGUAGUCCACGCUGUAAACGAUGAGUGCUAGACGUCAUGGGUAUUGACCCCUGUGGUGUCGAAGUUAACACGUUAAGCACUCCGCCUGGGGAGUACGGUCGCAAGAUUA
RNAcentral lists this ribosomal RNA (371 nucleotides) under uncultured organism. RNAcentral's name for it is "bacterial SSU rRNA". It matches the Rfam family "Bacterial small subunit ribosomal RNA", at positions 526 to 896 of the family's 1533-position model. The record is from RNAcentral.